RNAcentral lists this ribosomal RNA (93 nucleotides) under Helicobacter pylori Hp P-25c. The record is from RNAcentral. Lineage: Bacteria; Pseudomonadati; Campylobacterota; Epsilonproteobacteria; Campylobacterales; Helicobacteraceae.
UACCCAGUUAACCAUUCCGAACCUGGAAGUCAAGCUCUUCAUCGCUGAUAAUACUGCUCUUUUCAAGAGUGGGAAUGUAGGUCGGUGCAGGGA